Long non-coding RNA from Mercenaria mercenaria, 2568 nucleotides. RefSeq lists it as uncharacterized. NCBI's taxonomy places the organism in Eukaryota, Metazoa, Mollusca, Bivalvia, Venerida, Veneridae. The transcript is spliced from 4 exons. The record is from RefSeq and is a predicted model, not a curated record.
UACUAGUCAGUAUGUAUAUUUACAAGAUGUUUAUCAUUUCCUCAAACUAAUGGACAAUAACUUAUGUUACAAAGUGAGAGAAUCAACUGGAAUUUAUUAAUUUUGUAAAUUAGGAUGCCAAUAAAAAUUGAUUAACCUAAAAAUGUGUAAACUACCGUGUAUACACGUACUCUAAAGGGUGAUUUCUGAUAAAAGGUUUACGGAUUUGUCGAAGAUUAUUUAUGCAGAAUCACAAGAGCUUUUCAAUCUAUCUUGGCUUUUUGUGCAAGGACUGUUUUUGGAAGUGUUCACAUGCUAGUUCAACAACAUUGUGGAUUCAGAUUGAUUGGUUAUGGAGGCGCUGUGCAAUGCGCAUUUCAAAAGAUUGGGACAUGAAUGAAAAGCACAUGCUUGACUGUCAAGUUAAUGGGCCAGAUGAAAAUCUCUGAUGACCAAAGGCUAGCCACCAGUUAACAACAUUUGAUAUAAAGCCAUGCUGAGAGCCUUUAAAUUUUAUUCCAUGAGUCUUUCAGCCAUAGUGAAUUUUGUUUAUUGGUGUACAUAAAAUGCUCAGGAUACUCAAGCUUUCAAAUUAGGGAUGGAGCAAGGUUUGGAGAAAAAUAUGCAUCUCCUUGGAAAAUAUCAAUGAAUGAAUCGACAUACCUCUGACACUGGCGGUCAGAUUUCAGGGCAUCUCAACAAAAUGCUGAUUAUAUACUGUUUACAAGAAACUAAGUCUUGCUUUUCAAAAACUUUUAUUCCAUGAAUCUUUCAGCCAAGUAAAUUAUGUUUACUGGAGUACAUAAUAUGCUCAGGAUAUUCAAGCUUUCAAAUUAAGGAUGGAGCAAGGUUUGAAGAAAAAUUUGCAUAUCCUUGGAAAAUAUCAAUGAACGAAUUGACAUACCUAUUAUAGUCUGGCCAUCAACUUUCAGGGCAUCUCAACAAAAUGCUGAUUUUAUAUACAGUUUACGAAAACACUUGCUAUUCAAAAAAGGAAAAAUAGAAGAAAGUUGAGUUUACUGAGUCUCCAGAUCAGCUUUAGCAUGCAAGUAAAUGAAACAGACGCAGUAUUUCUUCGUUUGCAAAUAAGGUCCUUUACAACUGUAGCAAAAAUAACAAUUAAAAUCCUAUACAGGAUUUGUAUCAAGCCUGUUAUUAAUAUGUGUGUCAGUUACUUAUAACUGUCAAGGGAAUAUUUUCCUAUGUGUAAAGGAUUCUUAUUGUGGGCACUUACCUUUCAAAGGUUGUGCAUUUAUUUUAUAUAUGUUUUGUGUUUAUGUGUUUCAGUUGUGUUCUUAAUUUCAUUUAUCUUAUAUUUUGUAAGUAUGUUUGCCAAGUCUGUAUGCACAUAUUGAACAUUUGAUCUUCAGCAUUUAGAUGGAUAUAAACCACAAUGAGACUUUUUACAUACCCAUGUGCUAAAUUAGUGUCCUUAUAUUUACAUUUGUUGCUAAAAACAUUUAAGUUGUUUUCAUAUCGCGAGUAUUAGAUGUAGACUAAUGACAUGCUAUUGAUUUCUAUCCCCUGCUGAAGGUGGAGGGAUACAGUUUUGGUGUCAUCUGUCCGUCCGUCCGGAGCCAUAUCUAGGAAGUGGGUUAGUAUAUUUUAAAGAUAAAACUUAAUAUACAUGUUCACCACUACAGGGAAAUGCGGCCUGUAAGUGUCAGUCAAAUUGCCCAAAUAACACCACAGUUAAUAGUAGUUUCUAGUGUUAACUGUAUGAGGUAUUAUGAAUAUGGCAAUUUCUGCUUAAUGACUUGUGACAUAUUUGAUCUAGAACCAUGAACAAUUUCGUCAAAAUGUUGAUCCGAUUUAUUGAUAAGGGAGGUUACUCUGUAAGUCAAGUUUUCUAUUUCUGACCUUAGCAUGACCUACUUACCUAUCUAAUUUUCUAUAAAUAGAACACAUCGCAGAUAUACCACCAUAUUGCAACGCAUGAAUUGCGGACAAGGGAGCGUUCAUGCAUUUUACAAUAACCUUUCAGUAAACUUCGAAGAGAAUAUUUAAUUAUCAAAAAUACGGAAAAGUACACUUUGCCUGCAUAAAAUUCCUUGAAAAACGUACUAACAAAUUAAAUAAAGAAUCAAUAAGCAUAUAUAUGUUAACUUAUUUUUCAUCUUUUGUCUUAUUUUCUCAGUUGAUUACAGUGAUGUAAUGUCAGAAUGCGCACAUUUUUGCAGAUUCAUUUUACAGUUGUAUAUUUAUAUAACUGUUAUGGAUACCUUAACUUUGAAGCAUAGAGUUUCCCAAUUGUGACCACAUGUACAACUGGUCAGAAUAUUUCUAAAUAUUUUAUAAACUCAUCUUGAUUCUAACCUUUGACUUUUUUUGCUUAUGUGUCAUAUACUUAUUGUUUACAGAUAUUCACUGUCAACUAAGGUGUGCAAUAAAGGGCCAUCAUUUGGCUGAAUUUGUCAGUGACAAGUUAAUACUUCUUUAAAAUGGGAUUUGAUCGAAAUAUCAAAAUUCAUGGGACCAUAACUUAUCAAAGCAUCAGUGACGUUCAAAUAGAUUUCCUUGUUGAAUUUAUAUUUUCAUUAAUUUUAUAUGACUAGUCAGUUGCUCUAGUUGUAUUAUAUCUUGUUACUU